UCUCCGUUGGUGAACCAGCGGAGGGAUCAUUACAGGACUCGCAAGACUCCUACAACCCUGUGAACUUAACUAUAAGCACGUUGCUUCGGCGGGUGUCUCGGAGGGGGUUCUCCCUCCCCGAGACGCUAAACCCGCCGGCAGCAUACUAUACUCUGUCUCUUUGCGUUGGCAUCUCGAGUACAAUCAAACAAGUUAAAACUUUCAACAACGGAUCUCUUGGUUCUG
Molecule: unclassified non-coding RNA, 225 nt
Filed under: plant metagenome
Description: partial contains small subunit ribosomal RNA, internal transcribed spacer 1, and 5.8S ribosomal RNA
Source: RNAcentral